Molecule: non-coding RNA, 95 nt
Organism: Terfezia claveryi
Lineage: Eukaryota; Fungi; Ascomycota; Pezizomycetes; Pezizales; Pezizaceae
Source: the annotation of a GenBank genome assembly
GUCAAGAUGGCCGAGUGGUUAAGGCGUGUGACUUGAAUCCCCUUCAAGGUCAUCACAUGGGAUUUCCCGCGUAGGUUCAAACCCUGCUCUUGACG